AAGCGUAUACAAAGUCGAGUCGGUUUAAGGAUACGUUCGUUGGGUAGGGGAGCGUUCUGUAAGCCUGUGAAGGUGGCCUGUGAGGGUUGCUGGAGGUAUCAGAAGUGCGAAUGCUGACAUAAGUAACGAUAAAGCGGGUGAAAAGCCCGCUCGCCGGAAGACCAAGGGUUCCUGUCCAACGUUAAUCGGGGCAGGGUGAGUCGACCCCUAAGGCGAGGCCGAAAGGCGUAGUCGAUGGGAAACGGGUUAAUAUUCCCGUACUUGGUGUUACUGCGAAGGGGGGACGGAGAAGGCUAUGUUGGCCGGGCGACGGUUGUCCCGGUUUAAGCGUGUAGGUGUGUGUUCCAGGUAAAUCCGGUU
RNAcentral lists this ribosomal RNA (360 nucleotides) under Salmonella enterica. RNAcentral describes it as "partial 23S ribosomal RNA". It matches the Rfam family "Bacterial large subunit ribosomal RNA", at positions 1184 to 1547 of the family's 2925-position model. Lineage: Bacteria; Pseudomonadati; Pseudomonadota; Gammaproteobacteria; Enterobacterales; Enterobacteriaceae. The record is from RNAcentral.